GACGAACGCUGGCGGCGUGCUUAACACAUGCAAGUCGAACGGAAAGGCCCUGCUUUUGUGGGGUGCUCGAGUGGCGAACGGGUGAGUAACACGUGAGUAACCUGCCCUUGACUUUGGGAUAACUUCAGGAAACUGGGGCUAAUACCGGAUAGGAGCUCCUGCUGCAUGGUGGGGGUUGGAAAGUUUCGGCGGUUGGGGAUGGACUCGCGGCUUAUCAGCUUGUUGGUGGGGUAGUGGCUUACCAAGGCUUUGACGGGUAGCCGGCCUGAGAGGGUGACCGGCCACAUUGGGACUGAGGUACGGCCCAGACUCCUAAGGGAGGGAGCAGUGGGGAAUAUUGCACAAUGGGCGGAAGCCUGAUGCAGCAACGCCGCGUGCGGGAUGACGGCCUUCGGGUUGUAAACCGCUUUCGCCUGUGACGAAGCGUGAGUGACGGUAAUGGGUAAAGAAGCACCGGCUAACUACGUG
This 468-nucleotide ribosomal RNA is filed under the name uncultured bacterium. RNAcentral's name for it is "partial 16S ribosomal RNA". It matches the Rfam family "Bacterial small subunit ribosomal RNA", at positions 28 to 507 of the family's 1533-position model. The record is from RNAcentral.